RNAcentral lists this ribosomal RNA (779 nucleotides) under uncultured bacterium. RNAcentral describes it as "bacterial SSU rRNA". It matches the Rfam family "Bacterial small subunit ribosomal RNA", at positions 8 to 795 of the family's 1533-position model. The record is from RNAcentral.
AGAGUUUGAUCCUGGCUCAGAAUGAACGUUGGCGGCGUGGAUUAGGCAUGCAAGUCGAGCGAGAAGUUUCCCUUCGGGGGGACGGACAGCGGCGAACGGGAGAGUAACGCGUGGAGUACCUGCCCUUGGAUUCGGGAUAGCUGCGGGAAACUGCAGGUAAUACCGGAUAAUGUCUCCGGACCAAGGUGUGAUUCCGUCUGAAGAUGGCUCCGCGUCCUACUAGCUUGUUGGUGAGGUAACGGCUCACCAAGGCGACAUGGGUACCGGGUGUGAGAGCAUGACCCGGCUCACUGGGACUGAGACACUGCCCAGACACCUACGGGUGGCUGCAGUCGAGAAUCUUCGGCAAUGGACGCAAGUCCGACCGAGCGACGNNCGCGUGCGGGAUGAAGGCCUUCGGGUUGUAAACCGCUGUCAGUGGGGAGGAAAUCCAAGGGGGUUAUCCCUUUUGGUUGACCUAUCUUCAGAGGAAGUGCGGGCUAAGUUCGUGCCAGCAGCCGCGGUAAGACGAACCGCACNGAACGUUAUUCGGAAUUACUGGGCUUAAAGGGUGCGUAGGCGGCCCGGCAAGUUGGGUGUGAAAGCCCUCGGCUCAACCGAGGAACUGCGCUCAAAACUGCCGGACUUGAGGGAGAUAGAGGUGAGCGGAACUUAGGGUGGAGCGGUGAAAUGCGUUGAUAUCCUAAGGAACACCAGUUGCGAAGGCGGCUCACUGGGUCUCUUCUGACGCUGAGGCACGAAAGCUAGGGGAGCGAAGAGGAUUAGAUACCCUGGUAGUC